RNAcentral lists this long non-coding RNA (888 nucleotides) under Zostera marina. RNAcentral's name for it is "long non-coding RNA (ZMAR_LNC002447)". The record is from RNAcentral. Lineage: Eukaryota; Viridiplantae; Streptophyta; Magnoliopsida; Alismatales; Zosteraceae.
AAUUUUUGUUGAUCUUCUCUCUGUACAAUGGAUGUGAUGACUAGUGGGUCGUGAUGUGGAACCGUGAUCCCUACUAGGUCUUCGCUUGAGAAAUGUAUGUUUGCUAACAUUUUCAUUUUUUUAACUCCAUCCGUCCGGCUGAGGUCCUCCGCGUAUCUUUUACCUUCAAAUCCUAUUCCUCCCUUGGUUGCUUCGUCUCCUGAUAUUGCAAGUAUCUCACCAAUAUUUCUUCCUUCCAGAUCGUCCCUCGGUACACGAUGCCCUGUGGGAAUUAAUGUUGUACGUCGAGUGGGAGGAGAAGGUAGUCUCUGUUGUGAUGGUGUUAAACUUCGCACUUCUUGCCUUUUUUCGAGGGAUCUUGCUAGAACCCAACAUUCGGUCGUAGUAUAACAUAUAUCUUCAUGAUAUUCACAAUACCGAUUCACGUUCUGAUAUAUUGCUGUUUCCGUACGCACAGGGCGAGGUUCUGGAAGCACCUCUUCAUCUCUUAAUGCCAGAAAUACUUGUCGUUGAUUUGGAAGCGGGGUAACUCUUGGCGGGCCAUAACCUAAGGUGCCAUCUCUUGGGAAAGCGCCUCCUCUUGCAUUAUUCUCUGGUGCAUCUCUGUUUUGCGGUUUUGCCUCUAAUCUUGGUUGUUUUUAUUGUGUAUUAUGGUCGUAUUGGCUUCUUAGCCUUUGACAUAUCUGCUUAUGUUUCGCUUUAUGAUAAUCUUCUACAUUUGAUUUGUUAUUCGAUAUUUCCAUUGCCUCUGCAAAAGUGACCGAGGGGUCUCGUGCUAGGUCUCCUGAGAACCUAGUUGGCCUUAAUCCGUUGAUUAGGGGCCCUACUACCUCUUGCUCCUCCACACCUCGAACAUGUGGUUAUGGUGUUGUAUCAUCCAAACAAUUG